Molecule: ribosomal RNA, 250 nt
Filed under: uncultured bacterium
Lineage: Bacteria
Description: partial 16S ribosomal RNA
Rfam family: Bacterial small subunit ribosomal RNA
Source: RNAcentral
ACGCGAGGAACCUUACCAAGGCUUAAAUGGGAAAUGACAGGCUUAGAAAUAGGCUUUUCUUCGGACAUUUUUCAAGGUGCUGCAUGGUUGUCGUCAGCUCGUGCCGUGAGGUGUUAGGUUAAGUCCUGCAACGAGCGCAACCCCCUGUCACUAGUUGCCAUCAUUAAGUUGGGGGGGGACUCUAGUGAGACUGCCUACGCAAGUAGAGAGGAAGGUGGGGAUGACGUCAAAUCAUCACGGCCCUUACGCC